This is a long non-coding RNA of Pan troglodytes (chimpanzee), 6923 nucleotides long. RefSeq lists it as uncharacterized. Lineage: Eukaryota; Metazoa; Chordata; Mammalia; Primates; Hominidae. The transcript has 9 exons. The record is from RefSeq and is a predicted model, not a curated record.
GUUCCCUUAUUUAGUCUUUGCUCUAAUACACAGCUCAGGGGUUACUGGACUCCCUUGCAUUGUCCCAGCACUGGGAUUGACUGUGUGUUUAAUCCCCACUGACAACCAGGCACUGUGCCCUCAGUACAUUCUAACAAAUGCCCUGUGAGAGAAACCAACAUUUAGUCAUUUUGCAGAUGUGGAAACAGAGGCAGAAAUAAGAAGCUGUGCCCAAGGUCACCCAGAUACGAAAUGAGGAGAACUUAGAAAAAUUGCAUCGUGAUCGAAAGCUCUGACCUUGGCAAGUUUCUUAGCCCAUUUGUCUCCUUGCUUUCUGUAAAAUGGAGUAAUAAGAGUAUCUGCCCUAAAAGGAGGUGUAAGGAUUAUUAAUGCCUGUAAAGUGCUUGGAAGAAUGCCUGGCACAUAGUAUGAGCUUGAUAAAUGUCAGCCUUAAACACAACAAACGAGACCAAACUGCUUCUAAAGCUUGUAUCCUUUCUGCAACUCCCUGACGCCUCACAAGGAAUCAGGGAAUUGAAUUCAUACUUAGAAACUCGGAGCAAGAUUAAAGAUUGCAAGGUGUUGGAAAGUGUGGCCUAGUUAGAAAGCACACUCACUCACAUACACACACACAUAGCUACUUUUAAUAGCUGGUAAGAGCCAGAGAAAAUCCAAUUACAGAUGAGUCAAUCGAUUACAAAGAAAGAGGGCAGAAUAAAGGAAAGAAUGUUGGAGAGACACAGAACCAAAUUACAACCGGAUAAUAGAAUUAAGGGUCUGUCGAACAAACUGGGAGAAAUAACAAAGGGAUACAGGCUGGAGACGCUUUCACAGCUUUGUAAUGAUUUGAUUCUUUCUGAGCCCCUAGACUCCAAAGAGCGGUUAUAGGGCCAACGCCCCAAACAAGUGGGUGGAUCAGAAAGAGCCGGAAUUGUGUUUGGCAAGUCAUAUUUUGUGAAGAAAUGAACCACGUGUGGCCUGGGGAAGAAGAGGAUUGUGUUUGGGUUAAACAGAUGCUCCUAGUUAAGGGUGAGAGUCGCGGGCCAGAUACAAGGCGACUUUGAUUAGCAAAGGUAUAGCCUUGCUCCAAAAUAUUGUUUGCUAAGACAUUCUUCCUUCGUUUUAAAAGAAACAUCUCAUUGUUAAAUAGGAUUACUCUCUUGCAUAUACCUAAGCCAAAGCAAAACACAUGCUUUUAAUUUUAUUUUCCAUUUUGGGGGGACAGCAAGGUGGGGCUGUUAAUUUCAGCACCAACCUCUACAGCUGUGUCUAUUAUUGGUGGGCUCUAGAAUAACAUCCGUUUCUGUGUAUUUAUGGAAAGGCGUCCUUAACUAGGCCACAUAAAGAGCGAGCGCAUCUAUAAAUAAAUUAAGGAGGCUGCAAGGCGCGGUUGGCUGCCCCUCUGCUACGGCCUCGCAGGCCCUGCCACGCAGCUGUCGUCUUUGUGCCCGGCUUUGCGCACUCCAUUGUGGACGCGAUUACCCCGGCCUGGGGCGGCGCGUGCGGGGGCGGGGCGCACCUUCCCCGCCGGCGGCUGCAGAUUGGCUCCAGCGGCGAGGCUGGACUUCUUCGCGGCUCGGGCCGGCCUUGCUGGGCUGCGAGGUUCUGGCCUGUGACUUGGCCGGCGCAGGUGACCUGACGGCGGUCACUUCCUGGGAGCCAGCUGCACCCACCCGCGCUCAGGCUGAGUUGGGCUAACAGAUGGUGGCGUUGGGGGUGGGCGUUGGGUGGGGCAGGGGGAGGACAGUACAAGACGACAAGAAUAAGAAAAUGACUGAAUAGACAAGAUUAAACAGGUCAAAGCUGGGGUAGGGAGGAUAAGGAUGAGGGAAACUGCUUCCAAAGCUUGAGAGCCCAAUCCUUUCUUUCCGCCUUAGGAUGGGUGCCCCUCCUGGGCUCCUCCUCUGGGACAGGCAUGAAGGAUCUGAGUUCUACUUGCAGGUGGAGAUUAAAAAGAAUAAAGGCAGUCCUUUUCACUAGAGAAAUGGAGCAAAGAGCUUCUAUUUGCUUGGCAAUCAUUUCUGGGUUUUGUAGGAAUCUUGUCUUGAAAAAAGGAUCUCGUUGUGGUCCCUGGACCUGCUCCAACAGUAUCUCCAGUUCAAAAAGCAGACUCAGGGCCCGCAGAGCCACCGAGUCAGAACCUGCUGUUUUCUAGGAUCUCCUGGAGGUUCCUGGGUACACUCCAUUUGAAAAAGCUCUGGUCAACAGCACUGAUUCUUAACCCUUGCCGAAGUUAUGGGUUGAAUUGUGUUCUUCAAAAUGAUAUUGAGGUCCUAAUCCACAGAACCUGUGAAUGUGACCUUAUCUGAAAAUAGGGUCUUUACAACUGAUCAAGUUAAGAUGAGGCCGUUAGAAUGGAUGGACCCAAAUCCAACGUGACUGUGUUCAUAUAAAAAGAGGAAAUUGAGACACAGAGACAGACAUGAACACAAGGAGAAUCUAAUAUGAAGAUGAAGGCAGAGAUCAGGGUAAUGCAUCUUCAAGACAAGGAGAGCCAAAGACUGAUGGGAACCACCAGGUCCUAGGAGGGAGGCGUGGAACAGAUUUUCCCUUAUGGCCUUCAGAAGGAACCAACUCUAUCUACACUUUGGUCUCCCACUUCUAGCUUCCAGAACCAUAAGACAACGUAUUUCUGUUGUUUCAACCACCUUGUUUGUGAUACUUUGUUACAACAGCACUAGCAAACCAAUACACCUGGGUACUCCUAAGACUAACCCAGGUUUCUGAGCUCCGUCUGAAAUGUUUGCAAUCAGAAUACCCACGAGUGGGGCCAAUGGAACUGCAUUUUCUAAAUAUCCCCUGGGUGAUUCUAAGGUAGUUGGGAGAUUGGGAACUGGUGAGCCCAUCUCCCUUCCUUUACAGUGUGGUGGAGAAGGAAGAGAGAGCUGAGGCAGAUGAUGAAAGAUCUUCUCUUACUUCUUGCUGUGUGACCUUGGUGUGGUGGAGAAGGAAGAGAGAGCUGAGGCAGACGAUGUAAGAUCUGCUGUUACUUCUUGCUGUGUGACCUUGGGAAAGAUGAUUGUGAGUUGUUCUCUGGAGAGAUCCACAUGGCAAGAAAUUGAAGGAGGCCUUUGAUUGAAGAACUGAAUCUUGCCAACUACAUCAGUGAGCUUUUUGGCAUCCAUCAUCAAGACCACCUCAUGGUCAAAAAUGACUGCUUUGGCUAAAUCCAUCAUAUCCUCAUUCCAAGCCACAGAGGAUGAAGCAGGAACAACUGUGAGCACUGGAACUUUCUCAUGAGCCAGGUGAAGUGAAGUGGGUGUGCCUGGGAUCACACACAGCUGAGUCUUGCUCUGUCAUCCAGGCUGGAGUGCAAUGGUGUGAUCUCGGCUCACUGCAACCUUCAUCCACUGCAACCUUCGCCUCCCGGAUUCAAGCAAUUCUCCUGCCUCAGCCUCCUGAGUAGCUGGGAUUACAGGUGCCGGCCACCAUGCCCAGCUAAUUUUUUUAUCUUUAGUAGAGAUGGAGUUUCACCAUGUUGGUCAGGCUGGUCUCAAACUCCUGACCUCGUGAUCCCCCACCUUGGCCUCCCAAAGUGCUGGGAUUACAGGCGAGUUCAUUGUUUCUUUGUGCCACUGUGCCCGCUGAAAGAAAGUCUCAAGAACCACAGAUGUCUUGGAUAUUUCUGUAUUUCAGACUUUACUACCCAGACACCAAAAGAAGAAAUGAUUAACCCUGGAGGCUGCCUCGGUCUAGGUGAAAAAAUAUAUGUACGAUGACAGUGCGAUCAUACUAGAACUCAGGAUUAAGAAACUCACUCAAAACUGCUCAACUACAUGGAAACUGAACAACCUGCUCCUGAAUGACUACUGGGUACACAACGAAAUGAAGGCAGAAAUAAAGAUGUUCUUUGAAACCAACGAGAACAAAGACACAACACACCAGAAUCUCUGGGACACAUUCAAAGCAGUGUGUAGAGGGAAAUUUAUAGCAUUAAAUGCCCACAAGAGAAAGCAGGAAAGAUCUAAAACUGACACCCUAACAUCACAAUUAAAAGAACUAGAGAAGCAAGAGGAAACACAUUCAAAAGCUAGCAGAAGGCAAGAAAUAACUAAAAUCAGAGCAGAACUGAAGGAAAUAGAGACACACAAGAACCCUUCAAAAAAUCAAUGAAUCCGGGGGCUGGUUUUUUGAAAAGAUCAAUAAAAUUGAUAGACCGCUAGCAAGAUUAAUAAAGAAGAAAAGAGAGAAGAAUCAAAUAGAUGCAAUAAAAAAUGACAAAGGGGAUAUCACCACCAAUCCCUCAGAAAUACAAACUACCAUCAGAGAAUACUAUAAACACCUCUACGCAAAUAAACUAGAAAAUCUAGAAGAAAUGGAUAAAUUCCUCGACACACACACUCUUCCAAGACUAAACCAGGAAGAAGUUGAAUCUCUGAAUACACCAAAAACAAGCUCUGAAAUUGAGGCAAUAAUUAAUAGCUUACCAACGAAAAAAAGUCCAGGACCAGAUGGAUUCACAGCCAAAUUCUACCAGAGGUACAAGGAGGAGCUGGUACCAUUCCUUCUGAAACUAUUCCAAUCAAUAGAAAAAGAGGGAAUCCUCCCUAAUUCAUUUUAUGAGGCCAGCAUCAUCCUGAUACCAAAGGCUGGCAGAGACACAACCAAAAAAGAGAAUUUUAGACCAAUAUCCUUGAUGAACAUUGAUGCAAAAAUCCUCAAUAAAAUACUGGCAAACCAAAUCCAGCAACACAUCAAAAAGCUUAUCCACCAUGAUUAAGUGGGCUUCAUCCCUGGGAUGCAAGGCUGGUUCAACAUACGAGAAUCAAUAAACAUAAUCCAGCAUAUAAACAGAACCAAAGACAAAAACCACAUGAUUAUCUCAAUAGAUGCAGAAAAGGCCUUUGACAAAAUUCAGCAACGCUUCAUGCUAAAAACUCUCAAUAAAUUAGGUAUUGAUGGGACCUAUUUCAAAAUAAUAAGAGCUAUCUAUGACAAACCCACAGCCAAUAUCAUACUGAAUGGUCAAAAACUGGAAGCAUUCCCUUUGAAAACUGGCACAACACAGGGAUGCCCUGUCUUACCACUCCUAUUCAACAUAGUGUUGGAAGUUCUGGCCACAGCAAUCAGGCAGGAGAAGGAAAUAAAGGGCAUUCAAUUAGGAAAAGAGGAAGUCAAAUUGUCCCUGUUUGCAGAUGACGUGACUGUAUAUCUAGAAAACCCCAUUGUCUCAGCCCAAAAUCUCCUUAAGCUGAUGAUAAGCAACUUCAGCAAAGUCUCAGGAUACAAAAUCAAUGUGCAAAAAUCACAAGCAUUCCUAUACACCAAUAACUAACAGACAAACAGAGAGCCAAAUCAUGAGUGAACUCUCAUUCACAAUUGCUUCAAAGAGAAUAAAAUACCUAGGAAUCCAACUUACAAGGGACGUGAAGGACCUCUUCAAGGAGAACUACAAACCACUGCUCAAGGAAAUAAAAGAAGAUACAAACAAAUGGAAGAACAUUCCAUGCUCAUGGACAGGAAGAAUCAAUAUCCUGAAAAUGGCCAUACUGCCCAAGGUAAUUUAUAGAUUCAAUGCCAUCCCCAUCAAGCUACCAAUGCCUUUCUUCACACAAUUGGAAAAAAGUACUUUAAAGUUCAUAUGGAACCAAUAAAGAUCCCACAUUACCAAGUCAAUCCUAAGCCAAAAGAACAAAGCUGGAGGCAUCACACUACCUGACUUCAAACUAUACUACAAGGCUACAGUAACAAAAACAGCAUGGUACUGGUACCAAAACAGAGAUAUAGAUCAAAGGAACAGAACAGAGCCCUCAGAAAUAAUGCCACAUAUCUACAACUAUCUGAUCUUUGACAAACCUGAGAAAAACAAAAAAUGGGGAAAGGAUUCCCUAUUUAAUAAAUGGUGCUGGGAAAACUGGCUAGCCAUAUGUAGAAAGCUGAACCUGGAUCCCUUCUUACACCUUAUACAAAAAUUAAUUCAAGAUGGAUUAAAGACUUACAUGUUAGACCUAAAACCAUAAAAACCCUAGAAGAAAACCUAGGCCAUUCAGGACAUAGGCAUGGGCAAGCACUUCAUGUCUAAAACACCAAAAGCAAUGGCAACAAAAGACAAAAUUGACAAAUGGGAUCUAAUUAAAGAGCUUCUGCACAGCAAAAGAAACCACAAUCAGAGUGAACAGGCAACCUACAAAAUGGGAGAAAAUUUUUGCAACCUACUCAUCUGAAAAAGGGCUAAUAUCCAGAAUCUACAAUGAACUCAAAUUUACAAGAAAAAAACAAACAACCCCAUCAAAAAGUGGGUGAAUGAUAUGAACACACACUUCUCAAAAGAAGAAAUUUAUGCAGGCAAAAAACACAUGAAAAAAUGCUCAUCAUCACUGGCCAUCAGAGAAAUGCAAAUCAAAACCACAAUGAGAUACCAUCUCACACCAGUUAGAAUGGCAAUCAUUAAAAAGUCAGGAAACAACAGGUGCUGGAGAGGAUGUGGAAAAAUAGGAACACUUUUACACUGUUGGUGGGACUGUAAACUAGUUCAACCAUUGUGGAAGUUGGUGUGGUGAUUCCUCAGGGAUCUAGAACUAGAAAUACCAUUUGACCCAGCCAUCCCAUUACUGGGUAUAUACCCAAAGGACUAUAAAUCAUGCUGCUAUAAAGACACAUGCACACGUAUGUUUAUUGCGGCAUUAUUCACAAUAGCAAAGACUUGGAACCAACCCAAAUGUCCAACAAUGAUAGACUGGAUUAAGAAAAUGUGGCACACAUACACCAUGGAAUACUAUGCAGCCAUAAAAAUUGAUGAGUUCAUGUCCUCUGUAGGGACAUGGAUGAAGCUGGAAACCAUCAUUCUCAACAAACUAUCGCAAGGACAAAAAACCAAACACUGCAUGUUCUCACUCAUAGGUGGGAAUUGAACGGUGAGAACACAUGGACACAGGACGGGGAACAUCACACUCUGGGGACUGUUGUGGGGUGGGGGGAGGGGGGAGGGAUAGCAUUAGGAGAUA